GCCCAAAGUGAAGAAUUUGGUUCUGCUGCUGAGUAACCACGAAGGGUUGGCCAGUCCCAAUGAUGCGCAGCCCGGCUUGAGCACCCUGAGCCCGGCUGCUGGGGGGCUGAGCCCCAAAGCCCUCAGCCAGGUGCUGCUGCUGGGCCCCAAAAGUGACCCAGGCAGAAACCUGAGCCUGGCUCCACGAGUGUCCCCAUGAUGGGCUCACUCCUACUGCUGGUGACCACAGCCCAGUGAGAGCACGGCCAGGUCUGGCCUCGUCUCUGCGAUGCCAUAAAUAAUGCACGAGCCUCUGCGCACAGACCCAGGGAAAACACGUGAGCUCGCAGCCUUCUGACGUGGGAGAAAACAAGUUUAGAGGUUGCAGGUACUUUUUCUCCUCGUACCCACUGGAAAGUAGAAGUUGGUGAAGCCAAAGGAACACAUCCAAGGGCGGAUGGUUGUGCCACCAGCCCUGAGUUUCUGCAGCAAAAGGAUUUGGGCUCAUCUCCAGUCGGAUCAGAAAGCAGUCCCAUCUGACCUUGACCAACCACAGAAAACUAAGCCAGCUGAGAUAGCCAGGAAGAGAUCUCUGGUGAUGGAGAGCAGAAAUCUAUGGAGAGCCGCAGAAGAACGGGUUGGCUAUUUGGAAAGAAAAGGAAUUGUGUAGAAAACAAAAUAUUUUUGGGGAAGGAUAGACCACAACUGGGAAAAAAACAAACAAACUCUGCAAUACUGCCGUGUGAAUAGGAGAAUGAGGAGAAGAGGAGGAGAACCCGGAGCGGCCAUGGGGCACAGCAGGGAGGAGUGAGCUGUGCCCGGGUGCUGCACACGUGCACCACAGUCAGUGCCUGUCCCAUGGGGGAGCUCAGGGCUGCUCCUGACCACAUGAAGGGCUCUGGGUUGGGCGUACCCGGGACUGUUCUGAGAUGCUGUAGUGGUCCAUCGCCACCCUGCCUUUCUGCACUAGGCACAGGCCCCUUCCUUAAGGCUGCUCAGACAAAAUCCUUGCUCCCAACGCCUCCAAUACCUGGCCCCAUAGCCAACAUCCUCCUCCGGCUUACCACACUCCCUUCUGCUCAUCAGACAACCUCAAGGACAGGGCAUUCUUAGCUACCCAGGCACCUACCCAAGUUCCCCUUGCAGCGUCUGACCCCAAACUUGGCAAAACCAAUACAGAUAUUACAGAAGGUUCGUUGCACGCCCAUAGCAGCGCACUGCAGGCAGCCACGGCUUGCCCUGCUUGAGCAGAUCAAAGCCACGUCAAGCCCAAUGCAAUAAGCACUGCUGAACAGCAAGAGACGUGAAGCCGGCCUUGGUGCUAUGCAGUGUGGUCACACGGCUUCCAGAUGUGGACAGCCCGAGCUCCUGCCUGCCCUGAGCCACCCUGUAGCCGGGGGCUGCCUGUAGACUGAAAGGCAGAGUGCAGAAAUAAAGCUGCUCUCCACCUCUUUCUGGUUAAAUCGCUCUGCAGCUUGCAGAGCUCCACCAAGGACAAUUAUUUCCAGCAUGUGCCGUGCGUGAAUGCUGCAAGCAAGGCAGAGCUGGAGUUUCAUCAUAGCCCGGCUUUGUGCGCAGAGCAGAGAAGGAGGGGAAAAAAAAUCAAAAAGGAACUUGGAACUGAUGGCCCCCCAGCCUCACCCUGAUCCCGAGGAGGCUCCGCUCUGCUCUUGCUCAACCCGACAUCGAGAAUGAGGAAGUGGAGGAGACAGGCGGGGGAGGCGGAGGAACGGUCAAACUGAAGACAAACAGCCCCCGAGCUGCAGGGCUGGGAAAAAGCUCCAUGAGCAAGAGGGCACGGGAGCAAAGAGCACCCUGCAUCCAUGCUGAACCCCGUCCCCAUGCGGCGGUCCCCGAGGUUUGGGUAACCAGAGUUCAGGUCUCCCAGGAGCCGGUUUCCAGCACCCAGACCUGCAACCCCUGCAGCACAUGGGGAUGGCACAGCCUGGCCGUGGUAGGGCCGUGCCGAGCCGUGCUGAGCCAGCCCCAGCCGGCCCGCUGCCUGCCUUGCUCAGCAACAGCCAGCUUUCAGCACAGCCCGCAGCUCGCUCGCUCGCCUCCGUGCUCCUGAAUACCAGGAACCACACCACCACGUUGGCUGCAAACAGGAGUUGGCAUAAAAAAUUAAAACCCAGGCAGGCGCGAGGUGCUGCAGGUGGCUGCUGCAGCCUGGGGCCCUCGUUGGUCCCUGUGCCCCUGGUCCCACCACCUCUGUCACCAUCCCCAUCCAUGCAGGCACUCUGCAAUUCAUCCUGCCCCAGGGGAGGAAGAAGCACAGGUGAAGCAGCCCUAAGCUGCAUGGUCCAAGGAUGGUGGGGCAGCACCCAGCGGGGUGCUUUCUGCUGCUUUGUCCUUCCACUCGCUAGGGCAGCCAGGAGUUGCCCUGACCUUAUCCCUCUUACAGCAAAAACAACAUAGCAGAGACAUUAAGGGUGUGUGGGAGAUCCCUAAAGGGGUUCCCAGUACUGCAGCUGAGGAGAAGAUCAGGACCUGUGGCCCGUAAGGUAAACCCCACAAACAUUUUCUAUUCUCUUCAGGACAAGCAGGGAACCGAGGCACCAGCAUGGGUAAGUGGGAGGGAAAUGAAGGGCUCCUGGCCCACCCAGCUUAGGGCAGCAAAGAUAGCAAGAGCCAUUGCUGGAGCUGCUAAAACUUAUCCCAGAGAUUUAAUGUUUCUCAGGGAAAGCGGCAAAUCCCAUGGGAAGGAGCACCGCAUGAGGACCAAGGAAGGGAACUAAACCCAGACAGGGAGCAGACGGAGUGCAAACCCAGCAAAGCCCUGGGGAAAGGAAAGCCAGCAAAGCUUUGAGAACAAGAGGUUUCUUUCCCUUUCAUCCCGCUGUGAUAGUUGGGGUGAGGGAGCCGACACCCAGUGCCAGGAGCAGAGCCUGAUGGAGGAGCUCAUGGGAAGGCAGCAGAGCAGCAGGACCUGCGUGAUCGCCCACAGCAAGCAGCAGUUCCAGCAAGCGUACACCCAGCCUGCAUCUCAGAAGCAUUCUGCAUCCAGAGCAUCCCUGAAAGGGAGAGCUCAUUGCCAAAACCCAGGAGCUCCGCCUGCCCAGGGUUUGCAUUUUCAUUUUGGCUGGGAAACUGGAAAAAUACAGACCUGAGAAGGCAAUUCCCCCAGCCCAUCACUGAUCUCUGACCCUGCAGUGCUGGGCUGGCACUGGGAGUCUCUUGGUUUCUGCAGUGCUGGGGGGUGGCAUGGCAGCUUUCACAAAUGGGGCCGAGGGAAUUGCGAAGUGCCAGGACAGGGACUGGGUGUGCCUGAAUGGUACCCUUUGUCCACACCUCUGAGUUACCCAAAACCAGGGAACCUGUCCCUGCCUUUCCCUGCAGCCCCAUCCCCAGGACCCGGCCAGGAGCCCCUCUUAGCAACAGCCCUGGAUUGAAAGAAAAUAAAUGCAAUUCUGCUGAGAGGGGAGGAAAAAAAAAUAAAGGCAUAAAGGAUGUGCCUCUCCAGCUCCUCCUCCCCUCCCAGAAACCUGUGUGCUAUGCAAAUAUAUGCAAAUACAGCACCGAAAGGGGGAUGAAACUGGCUCUCUAUACCAGCAUGGUUUGAGACUGGGAAGGAUUGGAAGCAGCUUGUUGGAAACUUGGGGAAGAAAUAGCUACAGGAUGAGAGGGACAAGCAAUGAGGGCUGCAGGGCGCACAUCCCCAAACCCAUCCGGCACAGCAGCACGCAGCCCCAGCCCUCCUUCUCAGCAUCCCAUUGGUGCAGGUGACACGGAAACACUUGCAAAACCCCUUUUCCCUCCGCAAAAGGAGAGGAAAAAAAAAAAAAAAAGCCCCAAACUUGCUUUGCUGCUGUUUACAAUUCCCACCUGAGAAGAGACAGCGCCGCAUGUUUGCUGCCAUGGCGUUGUGCCCCAAGCAGGGACAGCAGCUGCGGACGGAGCCGGGUCGUGCUCUGCGAGGCGGGCGCUUCCCCCAGGUACUGCCGGAGUGACACCUAUCUUACAUGAGGAAUGGGCUCGUAUGAAUUCCAGCUCAUUUGUUCCAGGCAAUUUAUCCGGCCCAGCGUUGCCUUGUUUGACUCCCUACAAUGAAGAUCAACAGCUUCAAGAGAAGUUCUUGUGACUGGGCAGGACACAACAGUCUCCUGACAUCAACGUGCAAGUCCUGACGUCACCAGCAGAGCUGGAGAAAGGUCCAGAGCAGGAUGAUCAAACAGUGAGUCCGUAGGAGGAGGACCUCAGCCUGGAAACCAAGCAGCUAGAGAGGCACAUCUGGCCUCAAAAAGGUGAACCAAGUUUGAUUGCUCACUACGUCUCCCAAUAAAAGAAUUAGGAGAUACCCAAUGACAUUAAGAGGCAGCAGAUUCAAAAGGAGCAAGAGAAAAUGGCUCUUCACAUGCUAUGUGGUUAAACAGUGGAAGUCCUCACCACAGCUCUCAGGGGACGAUUAAAGCUUCUGCAUUUACAAAAAAAAUCAACCAGACAAAUUUCAUGGGGAAUCCAGGGAGGGGUAUUAAAGGCAAAAUGCUGCCUGGUUGGGGAAGUCCCUGAGCUGCCACGUGCUUGGGGCUGGGAGCGUGCACAAGAGGCACAGCCCUGCCCGGAUCUGCGGUGGGGACAUCCUCUACCAUUCCUUGCAUGGAAUGGAGACAGCAGGUGACAUCUCCAAGCCAGACCCUACAAUCCCAGCAGCCUGCUGUGUCUCCAAGCCCCACCUCGGGAGGUGCCAAACCCAUGCGAGUUGCAAAGUCCAUAAGCAGUGGGACCACUCAGUGCUGUCAGUGUGCUGCUCCCAGGACCCUGGCAGGAGCCAGGCUGGGUGCACAGCUCCAGUCCUCGGGACAGCGGCUGCAUGCGUCCCCGCGAGCAGCAUCCCUCACACAGGCAGGCGCACAGAGUCCAUGCACGUAGCAAUCCCAAUUAAACCCAACUACAUCGCAAAGGGCCCUGGCAGUGCUGCAUUUAUCAGGCUGCCUGGAAGGGGCUUGUGCAAGCUGUCCCCCCGGCUGAUGGAUUAGACAGCAGACAAUUAGGUUUCAGACACACACACACACACACACACACACGCAAGCACACGCACGCACACAAAUCCUUUUCUCCAUCCAUCUGCAAGGCCAAGGCGGCUGAGCACAGCUGUGCGGCUGUCCAGUGCUUCUGAAGCUGCGUGCAGCUGAAUAAGAAAAAGCCCCCGCGCCUCGGCUUUCAGCGGCUGCUUGCAAAAUGAGCGAGAGGUCCCCAAAGAGAUGACACAAUUGCAAUGGAAAUGAUUAACCCUUCGCAGGUUGGUUUUGUUGCUCCGUACCGCGGCAGCCAAGCCUGGCCACGAACUCCCACUCGUUGGGUUUCAAGGACAAAGCCACAGCAACUCAGUGCUCAGCCAGCUAAACUGUGGCGGGGACGAGCAUGCUCCCGCGUCCGUGUUUCAUGGCAGCAAUCUGGGAUUUUGGGGAUCAUUUUAGACAUCUCCCUGCCAGGGUAUUCCCAGCUCCUCUAAGCAGGGAUGCUCUCUCCACACACGCAUCGCUUCUGCAAACAUCCCACCUAAAGCAUCCCCUCCUGGUGCCUGAGAGCAGACACCACAGUUGCUACACCCGGAUCCCAGCCAGCUUCGCUCCUCUGAUUGCCCCUUUCGAGGGCUGCUCGGAACAAUAAUUCAAUACCAGAAAAAAUUAAUUGCGACAUUAAAUGGCUGCGAUGGAAAAGGAACAAACUGGGGGGGCUUCUGAAAGGCGAAGCGUGCACGCCUGCUCCGGGAGAUCUCCGAUGGAAUCAACAAAACAAUGGAUAUAAGGAAAAAAAAUCAGUAGAUAUAAUUUGUUAGGAUUGCCCUAAAGCCUGUGAUAAAAUCCCACAUGCUACUGAGGAAGCCAGGAAUUACUGGGCAACACGUAAAAUGCUGCCAGGAGCAGGAAGCAGCAAAGUGCCAGCAUGCAGCAGCACAGGGGCAAUGCCCCUCUCUGUGGGCAGGACAGGAAAGCUAGAGGUGUGACCUUGCUCCACAUGCAGCUUCCCACAGACAGGGGUCUGCCUGUCGUGCCAUGCAAGCAGGGAUGAGAGGGCAGUCAGCAGCUCCAUCCCUCCAUCACUCACAUGUACUUGAGUUUGAUAAGCCGAACGUGACACCAAGACUGCGUCAGUCCUUGGCCUCAGCCCUUGCACUCACAACCCUUGAUCUCUCCUUCCAAGCCAUCUUUCAGCUGUAUGUCUGGAAAGAGCCCAAGGAGAGAAGCCUCCCAUCUUACAUUUGGUGUGGGACACACGGGGGGAGAGGAUCCUCGCCAAUGAUGCUCAGCUUCCUGGAAACUACACCACGGUCUCAUUUUUCUUGCCAUUUUUGAAGAUCGCAUCACAAGAUCCCAUCCCAGUGCGUGUGAUCUUGCAGAGCCAACUCCAAGAUGACAAACACUCAGGUAGAAACGGCCACAUAGGCAACUCAGCCCAUUCCUCAAAUCAAUGAGAAUUUUUUUGAGGUUUCCUUUCGCUAAAUAUAGAUGUAAGCCCUAGCAUUACAAGAUAUAUCAUCCACUAUGGUAAGAAGAAACUCUCCAGAUGCAUCAGAGAACGUCUACAUGUUUGCCAAGGAAGAUUGCUGCGCUCUCCAAGCUCUGUUUAUUAUUAGUAGCAUAAGACUGGACACAAGGAUGGCUCUGACCUCCCAGAGGUCAUGUGCCUUGCACAUGAAUUUAGGACUGAGUGGAGGCUGCAGCAUUCAUCAUCUGCGAGCAGCCAGUUCCACCCCAUGUGUGAGCUCCUCCAUCUCUAAAGCCAUUGCAUUUCUCACCUGUUCCAAUGGGUCCACCCCAGAGCAUCAUCCCUCCCCUCCCUCAGCUCCACUGUUCUCCCCCUAAGCAUAUUCACGGGCAGUUUAAAGUCAUUUGAUUGCAUGCCAACAAUAUCUGCCAGUGGAACAGCUCAUCUCCCACCCCAGUGCUCCAUUUCCCAUGGUCUAUCUGCUUUGCAAAGCGGAGUUUGAAGAGUCUCAGGAGAUGGGCCAUUCACUGCACCUCCUUGGGGACUCAGCCAUCAUAUCUUGUAUCAAUCCAUAAACCACCCCUUCAGAUUUAUCAAGGUCCUAUAGUUUUCCUUCUGCAGCCCUAAGCAUGGUAUCAGAGAGAAUUUCCUGUUAACUACGCAACACUUUCCUCUCCUUGUUUUAUCCCAUUAUCCAUCGUUACAUCUCCUGGACCACUCUAAAUAAUUACUCAGCUGUGUGUUUAUGACCUUCAGAUAUUUGUCCAUCCUUGGUUUAAGUGAACUCUUAUUCAAGCCACCCUUAACAUUUAGACUGCACAGAGAAAUGCUUAUGUACAGAGACCUUCCAGGAUGGGGAAGAGAGAAAGUAGCAGCUUCCCAGGCUCUGUUGCACAGGCUGGGAAACUGAGGCAUAAGGAGACAGCCACAGAUUGAUC
Long non-coding RNA from Gallus gallus (chicken), 7346 nucleotides. The record is from Ensembl. NCBI's taxonomy places the organism in Eukaryota, Metazoa, Chordata, Aves, Galliformes, Phasianidae.